RNAcentral lists this ribosomal RNA (254 nucleotides) under uncultured bacterium. RNAcentral's name for it is "partial 16S ribosomal RNA". It matches the Rfam family "Bacterial small subunit ribosomal RNA", at positions 103 to 353 of the family's 1533-position model. The record is from RNAcentral.
CGGGUGAGUAACGCGUGAGGAACCUGCCUCAAAGAGGGGGACAACAGUUGGAAACGACUGCUAAUACCGCAUAAGCCCACGGUGCCGCAUGGCACAGAGGGAAAAGGAGCAAUCCGCUUUGAGAUGGCCUCGCGUCCGAUUAGCUAGUUGGUGAGGUAAUGGCCCACCAAGGCAACGAUCGGUAGCCGGACUGAGAGGUUGAACGGCCACAUUGGGACUGAGACACGGCCCAGACUCCUACGGGAGGCAGCAUG